CUUUUUUUUAAUUAAGUUUUCAUUAUUUUUCUAAGCUGCAAUUUAUUUAUUUCUUUUUUUUAUUCUCUAAAUCUACAAUUUUGUUGGUUUUACUUUAUGUACAAAAGGGGAGCACAAAGGAUUCUUUUCAAGGGACAGUGCGAAGGUGUCAAGUAGAGGGAGGCGAUCCCGAGCCGCUCAGCGUGGUUUCGUCGGACGCCAGCGUCGGAGAUCGUCCAAUUUGAAGUGAGGAGGAAGGGAAGAAGGGAGAACCCGGAGAAGGUGCUCAAUCAAUGGGGAAGGCAGCUUUAGUUCGAGCAAUACCUUCUGAAGAUGCCUUGCGCCCUCCCUGGUCAUCAUUAGGGAUGACGGAUAGAGAAGAACGGAGAGGGACGUCUUGGAGGAGCUAGGGUUGUAUCUCAUGAGGACAGCUCCUUUUGCGUUUACCCUGAAGGAUUUUUAACCAUGAUACCACGCCAGAACAAAGAGCGAAGGUCAUCUAUUCUCCCGAGCAUCUAAACCUGUUGUGGGUUCAUCCAUGAAUAUGAUAGAAGGGCUUGAAACCAACUCCACUGCUAUCGUCAGACGUUUCCGUUGUUCUGCUUCUUUCUGAAGAAGCUGGCCAUAAUGGGAAGAGCCAAAGGAAUCUGAGAACUUCUGCACGGGUACGUACUGGAGACAAGUGAUCAGGAACCUGUUAACUUUAAGGAACAACUGGUAGUUGGUACCUCUUGAAGGAAGUUGGCGACGUUCUUCCUAUCAGGACAUUUGAAGCCCAUCGACUCAAAAAAUUCAAGAACAUGUUGCCGUGGUCCUUGGUAAGCAAUUCGCCCCUCACAUAAGAGGAUUAUGUCAUCAAACAGGUUAAAUGCCUCUCGAGUAGGUUGAAGUAAAGAUAUAACCAUGGUGAGAUCCAAAACAUGCGUCAACUGCUGCAAAUACUUGAGAAUCUGAAAUGUAGUGGAGCUAUCAAGCCCAGUUGAAAUGUCAUCCAUGAAAAAACAUUGUGCUGGUGCCGCUAGCAUUUCUCCUGCAAGACAAAAGCAUGUUACCAAGGGGAGGGAUACAAGAUCAACCAUGUGUUUCCUACCUAUGGUGACUCUUUUCUUUUGUCCUCCGGAUAUUCCCCUUCUCAUUUCAUCACCUAUUAGUGUGUCGGCGCACUCAUCCAAGCCAGUUAUCUGAAAGGUUAAAUCAUGACUAAUGUGAGCAGAAUUGUUGCGGAUAAGAACACUUGCAGUUCAAUAUCUUUAUUGCUACAUUUGUUUGUAGAAAAGAAGUUUCUCUUAUCAUUUCAAUUAGCUACUGGCAUGCAAAUAAUGCUGAUAAUUCUAUCCC
Molecule: long non-coding RNA, 1317 nt
Organism: Musa acuminata AAA Group (dessert banana)
Lineage: Eukaryota; Viridiplantae; Streptophyta; Magnoliopsida; Zingiberales; Musaceae
Exons: 6
Source: RefSeq, a predicted model, not a curated record